Molecule: ribosomal RNA, 427 nt
Filed under: uncultured bacterium
Lineage: Bacteria
Description: bacterial SSU rRNA
Rfam family: Bacterial small subunit ribosomal RNA
Source: RNAcentral
UAGUUGGUAGGGUAAAGGCCUACCAAGGCGACGAUCCGUAGCGGGUCUGAGAGGAUGAUCCGCCACACUGGGACUGAGACACGGCCCAGACUCCUACGGGAGGCAGCAGUGGGGAAUUUUGGACAAUGGGCGCAAGCCUGAUCCAGCCAUGCCGCGUGAGUGAAGAAGGCCUUCGGGUUGUAAAGCUCUUUCAGACGGAAAGAAAUCGGUGUGUCUAAUACACGCACUGGAUGACGGUACCGUAAGAAGAAGCACCGGCUAACUACGUGCCAGCAGCCGCGGUAAUACGUAGGGUGCGAGCGUUAAUCGGAAUUACUGGGCUUAAAUCGUGCGCAGGCGGUUAUGUAAGACAGAUGUGAAAUCCCCGGGCUCAACCUGGGAACUGCGUUUUGUGACUGCAUAACUAGAGUACUGCAGAGGGAGGUGG